Oncorhynchus nerka (sockeye salmon) is the source of this 940-nucleotide long non-coding RNA. RefSeq lists it as uncharacterized. The transcript is spliced from 3 exons. The record is from RefSeq and is a predicted model, not a curated record. NCBI's taxonomy places the organism in Eukaryota, Metazoa, Chordata, Actinopteri, Salmoniformes, Salmonidae.
UGCAGGACACCCAGAGGACCAUCUCCUCAGACGAGACUGGACCUGGACAAGGUUACCCAGAGACAAGAGCGGUUCAGUGAUUGUUCAGCCAUGCUCGAGCUAGAGAAGAAGGAGCGACGGAUGUUGGAGCGGCGUGUGGCUGAGCUGGAGGAGGAGUUGAAGGUGAAAAGAGAGAACAUGAUCACACCUGGGUUCAAAUAGUAUACGAAAUCUUUCAAAUACGUUAGCUGGGCCCAAACCCUGGUCACCUGGCACUCCAGGCAGGCUAAAGCAAAUGCUGAAAGUCCUUACUCCACACAGACUCUCUGCCUGAACCCAGGUUUUACUCCAAGCAGACUCUCUGGUUGAACCCAGGUUUUACUCCACACAGACUCUCUCUGGUUGAAUCCAGGUUAUACUCCACACAGACUCUCUGGUUGAACCCAGGUUAUACUCCACACAGACUCUCUGGUUGAACCCAGGUUAUACUCCACACAGACUCUCUGCCUGAACCCAGGUUAUACUCCACACAGACUCUGCCUGAACCCAGGUUAUACUCCACACAGACUCUCUGCCUGAACCCAGGUUAUACUCCACACAGACUCUCUGGUUGAACCCAGGUUAUACUCCACACAGACUCUCUGGUUGAACCCAGGUUAUACUCCACACAGACUCUCUGCCUGAACCCAGGUUAUACUCCACACAGACUCUCUGGUUGAACCCAGGUUAUACUCCACACAGACUCUCUGGUUGAACCCAGGUUAUACUCCACACAGACUCUCUGGUUGAACCCAGGUUAUACUCCACACAGACUCUGCCUGAACCCAGGUUAUACUCACACAGACUCUCUGGUUGAACCCAGGUUAUACUCCACACAGACUCUCUGGUUGAACCCAGGUUAUACUCCACACAGACUCUCUGGUUGAACCCAGGUUAUACUCCACACAGACUCUCUGGUUGA